Molecule: ribosomal RNA, 497 nt
Filed under: uncultured bacterium
Lineage: Bacteria
Description: partial 16S ribosomal RNA
Rfam family: Bacterial small subunit ribosomal RNA
Source: RNAcentral
GAUGAACGCUGGCGGCGUGCCUAAUACAUGCAAGUCGAGCGAACAGACGAGGAGCUUGCUCCUCUGACGUUAGCGGCGGACGGGUGAGUAACACGUGGAUAACCUACCUAUAAGACUGGGAUAACUUCGGGAAACCGGAGCUAAUACCGGAUAAUAUAUUGAACCGCAUGGUUCAAUAGUGAAAGACGGUUUUGCUGUCACUUAUAGAUGGAUCCGCGCCGCAUUAGCUAGUUGGUAAGGUAACGGCUUACAAAGGCAACGAUGCGUAGCCGACCUGAGAGGGUGAUCGGCCACACUGGAACUGAGACACGGUCCAGACUCCUACGGGAGGCAGCAGUAGGGACUCUUCCGCAAUGGGCGAAAGCCUGACGGAGCAACGCCGCGUGAGUGAUGAAGGUCUUCGGAUCGUAAAACUCUGUUAUUAGGGAAGAACAAAUGUGUAAGUAACUAUGCACGUCUUGACGGUACCUAAUCAGAAAGCCACGGCUAACUACGUG